This 411-nucleotide long non-coding RNA is filed under the name Fukomys damarensis (Damara mole-rat). RNAcentral describes it as "lncRNA (ENSFDAG00000023510.1)". Lineage: Eukaryota; Metazoa; Chordata; Mammalia; Rodentia; Bathyergidae. The record is from RNAcentral.
GAAGCCCAUCCUCUGCAUACCGGCUCCCCUGGACUGAACAGCGGCAUUGGCUGGAAGGGUCAGAUGAGGGCGAGAUAACAGAACUAGGGUGAACCUAGUGUUGAGCUCUCCGAGGCUUCCUGGAGUGGAGGACUGGACAGCCCAGGCAGGCCUUGUCACCAUCUUCCACCGUACCCUGGGCUCUGGGGAGUGAGGUCAAGAACUUCCGACUCUUUCACGGCAUCACCGAACCUUCCCAGCUGUGUCGAAGAUGAAAUGAGAUGACACAUGGAAAGCAAAACACCAGCUUGGCAGAUUGUCUAAGAAGAAUGCCGUGAUUAUUACUUAUGGCUUGUACUUCUUCCUUCAGCAAAAAUACUUGUUUUAUAAAAGGAUAACAGUUUCCAUUCCACUAUAAACACUGGUUGGGUU